AGCGUCCCUAGUAGCCGGGGCGUCUCUAGAGAUGUGCAAACUUCCGGUUCCCGCAGUGGCCCGGGCCUGGCCUCCGCCGCCGGUUCCUCCUCCCAGGCGUCCGCCUACUUCUUUGCUGCGCCCAUGGUUCUAGCCGGCGCCCAGGCCUGGGCCGGGGCCGGCAAGGCGGAGCGGGCGAAGGCGGCGUGGUGAGCCGGCGGCGCGGGUAUGAUGUGGACCUCGCGUUGCCGCUGCUGUUGCCACCGCUUGCUGUCGGCCGCGCUGCUGCUGGCGCUAAGCGGGCAGCUGUCUUUGCUGCUGCUGCUGCUGCUGCUCCUGCUGGACGGAGCGGCCGCCCUCGCCUCUCACACCUCUGUGCCCGGAGCCCCACUGAAGCCUUCCCAGCCCCCGCCGCUGCCUCGGGCCUCGGGCACUGUCUUCCCCGCCAGGCCCGGCCUCCCGAGUGCUGGCAGGACCGUGUCCCCUUCCGGGCAGGCCGGGCUCAGCGGCAAUGGCAGCGGCCCCGGAGCCGGGCCUGCCGAGAUCGGAGGCGGCGGGCUGGCGGUGUCCCCGAAUUCUGGCGACAAACCCAUGACCCAGCGGGCCCUCCUGGUGCUGAUGGUGGUGAGCGCCGCGGUGCUUGUGUACUUUGUGAUUAGAACCAUCAGAAUGAGAAGAAGAAAUAGAAAGACACGAAGAUAUGGAGUUUUGGACACAAAUCUAGAAAAUAUGGAAUUAACACCUUUAGAACAAGAUGAUGAUGAUGAUGAUACAACUCUUUUUGAUGCCAAUCAUCCCCGAAGGUUUUCGUGAUAUUACUGUAUCCUGGUCCUCCUUCUACCUGUCUGACCGUUUCUUCCCAAUCUCCUUUGUUGAAUCUUCUUCCAGCCCAGGAAAGAUAAGAAUGUGCCUUUUAAUGAGAAAACAUCAUUGGUGAACAUCAUAGGAAAAAGCUUAUGAUUAAGGAAGAAGAAGCCAAUAUCAGUCACAGUAUGGGGGGUAUUUAAGUUAUGUAUAUUAUGACUUUUAAUUUGUUGUUGAAAAAAAUACUGUAUCAGUUUGUUGCAUCUUUGUAUAUAUAUAUAGGAAUGUUAUAAAUGAGUUCAAAUCUGAAGAAAAAGAAAUGCAUUAUAAUAUAAAGCUACUUGAAAAUUACCAUUAAAAUAGUGUUUUCAUUUUUCUUUUCUUUACUGUUUACCAUGUGGUAAACAGUUUCUGUUUAUAUGCUAAUCAGCUAAAGUUAAUUGUUUUGCUGGUAUAAUGUUUUAAGUAAUUAUACUUGUAGGUACCCACUGAAGUGCAAAUUCUUUAAUAUAAUUUGAUUUUUUUUCCCCAAUAAAAUAUAUUUCCCAUUUUUGGGGGGAAAUGCCAGAUGUACUGCUUUGUUUUUGAGUAUUUUUUAAACUAUAUAAUUAUAUGAGCUGUUGUAUGCAAAGCAAUAAAUGUGAUAUUAAAUUGUUUUAAGUGCACUAAAAGAAAUGUGGAAAGGAACUAUCAUUUGAAGAUAAAAAUUUAUUUCCAAAAUAA
Sarcophilus harrisii (Tasmanian devil) is the source of this 1506-nucleotide RNA transcript. It is a transcript of the gene named family with sequence similarity 174 member A, with no coding region annotated. The record is from RefSeq and is a predicted model, not a curated record. Lineage: Eukaryota; Metazoa; Chordata; Mammalia; Dasyuromorphia; Dasyuridae. The transcript has 4 exons.